Molecule: ribosomal RNA, 253 nt
Filed under: uncultured bacterium
Lineage: Bacteria
Description: partial 16S ribosomal RNA
Rfam family: Bacterial small subunit ribosomal RNA
Source: RNAcentral
UACGGGGGGGGCAAGCGUUGUUCGGAAUUACUGGGCGUAAAGGGCUCGUAGGCGGCCAACUAAGUCAGACGUGAAAUCCCUCGGCUUAACCGGGGAACUGCGUCUGAUACUGGAUGGCUGGAGUUUGGGAGAGGGAUGCGGAAUUCCAGGUGUAGCGGUGAAAUGCGUAGAUAUCUGGAGGAACACCGGUGGCGAAGGCGGCAUCCUGGACCAAUACCGACGCUGAGGAGCGAAAGCCAGGGGAGCAAACGGG